AUUGAACGCUGGCGGCAGGCCUAACACAUGCCAGUCGAGCGCGCGGCGAACGGGUUAGUAAUGUCUGGGAAACUUCCUUAUGGAUGGGGCUAACUACUGGCAACGGUAGCUAAUACCGCAUACCAUCAGAUGUUCCCAGAUGGUAUGAGCUGGUAGGUGGGGGAACGGCUCACCUAGGCGACGAUCCCUAGCUGGUCUGAGAGGAUGACCAGCCACACUGGAACUGAGACACGGUCCAGACUCCUACGGGAGGCAGCAGGGGGGAAUAUUGCACAAUGGGCGCAAGCCUGAUGCAGCCAUGCCGCGUGUGUGAAGAAGGCCUUCGGUUUGUAAAGCACUUUCAGCGGGGAGGCGUUACCCGCAGAAGAAGCACCGGCUAACUCCGGGCCAGCAGCCGCGGUAAUAC
This 406-nucleotide ribosomal RNA is filed under the name uncultured bacterium. Its description in RNAcentral is "partial 16S ribosomal RNA". It matches the Rfam family "Bacterial small subunit ribosomal RNA", at positions 30 to 526 of the family's 1533-position model. The record is from RNAcentral.